Coturnix japonica (Japanese quail) is the source of this 1235-nucleotide long non-coding RNA. RefSeq lists it as uncharacterized. The record is from RefSeq and is a predicted model, not a curated record. Lineage: Eukaryota; Metazoa; Chordata; Aves; Galliformes; Phasianidae.
UUGAAGAAUAAAAGGUGCAGAUCAUUUGUUUUCAGCACUGACUGUUUUCUGUGACACUUGAUGACUAACAGGAAGUCCAGCACAGAGUUCAUACUUCAGCACUAACAAUUGAUGCACUAUGUACAAGGUCUGCCAUUUUUUCUUGUCAGCUAAGAAAAAAAAAAUUACAAGUCUUAUUUCAAUUCUGGGAAUCUUGUAGCACUCCUACAUAUUUUAUUUUCAAAUUGUUUACAUAAGCUCCACUUAUGCUACAUGAAUCAAAAUUCAUUUGGGGUAAUUGUUUAAAAAAAAAACACUGUCUGUGCAAGUUUUAGUUGUUUGACCAUCUAAAGGAUGGACUAGGACUAGUUAGAAAUUCUAGAACAGUGCUCAUGUGAAGCACCCCAAAACAGCAAUUACCAAAUUCUGUCAUUAUUUCCAGCUCUGUUUACAAGAAUAGCCAUUAAAAUACUCCCAAUCUUUAAUAAAACUGCUUAGAUAAUAACAGAGUAGAAUGUGCUGGCUGUUUUCCCUGUAUGUUCAGAGAAAAGUGUUUUUAUUUAAACUGCAAAUGCUACUAAAAAAGUCUACUUAAUGCAAUAGAAAUUAAUAUUUAAGAAAUACUGUCAAUCAGAAGUCUGAACUUUCACCCAAAGAUGUACUGAGAUCAUUAAGUCUGAACAAAUGUAUGCCUUGAAUAAUUUGGUAAUAAUAGGGCAGUCUGUACCAUUUCUGUAGAACAGUAUUCUUUUCAGUAUCACACAGAGGUGUGCAUUGGAAGAAUGAUGUAGAUUUAACUGAGGACAAAGACUACAUAAUACUAUCAUUUAGAAAACCAGUAACCUUUGGUUGCCUAAUAUUUUCGGUCUUCUUUUACUUUAACCUCAAGAGUCUCUUGAAAACACAGCACAAAAGCUUUCAAAACUGCUAGCAGUCAUUUCCAUAUGGCUCAAUCUACAACAUCAGUUUACUCUGCCUCUUUACCUGACAUCUCCACUCUAUUCAGGGUUCAUCAAACACAGACACUCUUCUGAUUAAUGGCUAAUUUAUUAUUUGCCUUGCAAAUGUUUAUCUGCAGGGAGAUGAAGUAAAUAUACUUCAGCUCUGACAAGCACCAUGGCCACUCUCGCCCUGCCUGACAGAACGGUCAGUCGAUGCUGUCCCUGAGGAGCCAUGCCCUGCCUUAGGUUUCCCAGACAGUCCUCUGAAAAGCUGGAGAACCACUGCUUACAAAUAAAGGUAUGAAAAAGCUUGUA